Molecule: ribosomal RNA, 3162 nt
Filed under: Parcubacteria group bacterium SW_4_49_11
Lineage: Bacteria
Description: bacterial LSU rRNA
Rfam family: Bacterial large subunit ribosomal RNA
Source: RNAcentral
CGAGUGGUUAAGGGUGUAUGGUGGAUGCCUAGACAUCGGGAAACGAUGAAGGACGUGGCAAGGCUGCGAUAAGCCUCGGGGAGCCGCUAAGCAGGCGUUGAUCCGGGGAUGUCCGAAUGGGGAAACCCGCUGUGGCAAACCCACAGCGUCCGUGUGUUGGACCGCACGGGAGUUAUACCCGAAGAAGUGAAACAUCUCAGUACUCGGAGGAAAAGAAAGCAACCGCGAUUUCCUUAGUAGUGGUGAACGAAGAGGAAACAGCCCAAACCUGAACUACGGUUCAGGGGUAGGAGGAAAGAGACGUACCCUUCGAGGGUGGGUAUCACAUCGGCGUUAGUCGAAGGAGUUGGAAACCUCCGCCGUAGAACGUGACAGCCGUGUAGACGAAAGCGUGCGAUGUGAUAUCUGUCUCUUAUCCUGAGUAAGACGAGGCACGAUAACCUUGUCCGAAGCAACCGGGACUACUCCGGUAAGGCUAAAUAUUCCCCGAUGUCGAUAGUGGACCAGUACCGUGAGGGAAAGGUGAAAAGUAGCCCGGAAGGGCAGUGAAAUAGACCUGAAACCAUACACUUACGAAGAGUCGGAGUCCCUCCUUUGUUUGUCUACAGAUAUAUGCGCGUUCAGUACCACAGAAACCAAAUGUUUCUGUACUGAACAUACGCAAUAUUGGUGGUCAAACUAAGGAGGGAUGACGGCGUGCUUAUUGAAGAACGAUCCAACGAGUUAGCUCUCGUCGGCUUGCUUAAGUCCGUUUUAAACCGGACGGAGGCACAGGGCAACCGAGUCUUAACGGGCGCCAAAGGUCGACGGGACUAGACCCGAAACCGGGCGAGCUACUCAUGACCAGGGUGAACUCUGAGUAAUAUCAGAGGGAGGCCCGCACACACUGCCCGUUCAACUGCAGGUGAUGAGUUGUGAGUAGAGGAGAAAUUCCAAUCGAGCUCGGUAAUAGCUGGUUCUCUCCGAAAUAGCUCUCGGGCUAGCGUCGAUCGGUCUCAUCCGGGGGUAGAGCUCUGAAUGGGAGCGGGGGGUUCGCCUACCCCUCCCAACCAAACUCCGAAUACCGGAUGUGCGAGAUCGGCAGUUAGAACGUGGGGGCUAAGCUCCAUGUUCGAAAGGGAAACAGCCCAAGACCGCCAUCUAAGGUCCCUAAAUCUACACUCAGUGGGAAAGGUUGUGUUUCUUCUGAUACAGGCAGGAAGUUGGCUUAGAAGCAGCCAUCUUUCAAAGAGUGCGUAAUAGCUCACUGCUCUAUUCCCUCCUUGUGGGGGAUAGGAAGGGAUGCGCCGAAAAUGUAACGGGGCUUAAGUGUAGUACCGAAGAUGCGGUCCAGCUCCAAUUUCUAUUGUUAUUUAUUUACAAAAAACUUGUAACGAGUUUCGAGACCUAAUACAUGAUAGUAGAAAUUGGGGCUGGAGGUAGGAGAGCGUUCCCGUGGCGCUGAAGUCGUACUCGCGAGAGACGGUGGAGCCUCGGGAAGUGAAAAUGUUGGAAUGAGUAACCGCAAGUCCAGUGAGAUUCUGGGCCACCGGAAGCCUAAGGUUUCCUCUGCAAUGGAGAUCAACAGAGGGUUAGCCGGUCCUAAGGCAAACUUCGGACAACGGAGGUAGCCGAUGGUAAACGGGUUAAUAUUCCCGUGCUGGUAGUGGCUUGGUAAAUGUGGGGACGCAGGCUGGUAGGUUCCGUGUCUCCAUGGAUUGAGGCAUGUAUAUGUGUGUAGGCGGGCGUGUGAGGCAAAUCCCUCCGCCACUUCAACGUCGAGACAUGUACAGAUCUCCCUCUUUGAGGGAGAAAUGGAGCCGACCCAACCUGACGAGAAAAGCCGCUAUGCCCGAAUUUUUUCGGGAUCCACUACCAACCGUACCGUAAAACUGACACAGGUAGGCAGGUCGAGAAGACCAAGGUGAACGGGUUAAUCCUCGUUAAGGAACUCGGCAAGACAGCGACCGUAACUUUGGAAUAAGGUCUUCCGAAUCUCCUCCGGGAGGUCCGGACGCAGCGAAAGACCCCCUGCGACUGUUUAUUAAAAACACAGGUCCAUGCUAAAGCCACAAGGCUGACGUAUAUGGGCUGACUCCUGACCAGUGCUGGAACGUUAACGGCGGGGGUGAAAGCUCACUGCCCGAAGCGCCAGUGAACGUCGGCGAUAACUAUAAUCGUCCUAAGGUAGCGAAGUUCCUUGUCUGGUAAGUUCAGACCCGCUUGAAAGGAGUAACGACUGGGGGACUGUCUCAACGAGGAGCCCGGUGAAAUUGCAAUGACGGUAAAGAUGCCGUCUACCCGCGGCAGGACGGAAAGACCCCGUGGAGCUUUACUACAGCUUGGUAUUGUACGUUCGUUUGCUUUGUUCAGAAUAGGUGGGAGGCUAUGAACGCUCAGCUCCGGCUGAGCGGGAGCCACCUGUGAGAUACCACCCUUGGCUUGCGGACGUGCUAACUUGUGUCUAAUCCGCGCAAGGACAGUGCCUGGUGGGUAGUUUGAGUGGGGCGCUCGCCUCCCAAAAAGUAACGGAGGCGCUUAAAGGUUGGCUAUCCCGAUAUGGAAAUUCGGGAGAUAGGGCAAAGCCACAAGCCAGCUUUACUGCAAGGGGGAUAACCCGCGCUGUAGCGCCUAGCUACACUUGUAACCGGAAGUUUACUCCGUAAACGUCCCGGUUACUCGAGUUGCGAGAGCAGAACUUAGUGAACCGAUCGUCCUUUAUAGAAAGACGUGAGAUCAGCAAACAAAAGUUACCCCGGGGAUAACAGGCUAGUCUGGCCCAAGCGUUCAUAGCGACGGCCAGGUUCGGCACCUCGAUGUCGGCUCGUCUCAUCCUGGGGCUGAAGGAGGUCCCAAGGGUUUGGCUGUUCGCCAAUUAAAGAGGCACGCGAGCUGGGUUAAGACCGUCGUGAGACAGGUCGGUCCCUAUCCGCCGUGGGCGCGUAAGUGCUUGAGGAAUGCCACUCCUAGUACGAGAGGACCGGAGCGGACGAACCUCUGGUGUAUCAGUUGUCGCACCAGCGGCAUUGCUGAGUAGCUACGUUCGGUUUGGAUAACCGCUGAAAGCAUCUAAGCGGGAAGCCAUAUCCAAGAUUAGGCACUAUAUGCGGUCCUGGAAGACGACCAGGUUGAUAGGUCACAGGUGUAAGCGCAGUAAUGCGUUGAGCCGAGUGAUACUAAUAC